CUCGGCCCAAAAAUUCGCCGAUCCAUCAUGAGAUGAUAUCCAAUUUCAUUUUCAAAUUUAUCCUCCGGAAACAUCUGAAAAUAA
Molecule: transfer RNA, 84 nt
Filed under: Dysosma aurantiocaulis
Lineage: Eukaryota; Viridiplantae; Streptophyta; Magnoliopsida; Ranunculales; Berberidaceae
Description: tRNA-Tyr
Source: RNAcentral